CAAUUUAAACAACGAAGAGUUUGAUCCUGGCUCAGGAUGAACGCUAGCGACAGGCUUAACACAUGCAAGUCGAGGGGCAGCGGGGUGUAGCAAUACACCGCCGGCGACCGGCGCACGGGUGAGUAACGCGUAUGCAACUUGCCUAUCAGAGGGGGAUAACCCGGCGAAAGUCGGACUAAUACCGCAUGAAGCAGGGGCCCCGCAUGGGGAUAUUUGCUAAAGAUUCAUCGCUGAUAGAUAGGCAUGCGUUCCAUUAGGCAGUUGGCGGGGUAACGGCCCACCAAACCGACGAUGGAUAGGGGUUCUGAGAGGAAGGUCCCCCACAUUGGUACUGAGACACGGACCAAACUCCUACGGGAGGCAGCAGUGAGGAAUAUUGGUCAAUGGGCGCGAGCCUGAACCAGCCAAGUCGCGUGAGGGAUGAAGGUUCUAUGGAUCGUAAACCUCUUUUAUAAGGGAAUAAAGUGCGGGACGUGUCCCGUUUUGUAUGUACCUUAUGAAUAAGGAUCGGCUAACUCCGUGCCAGCAGCCGCGGUAAUACGGAGGAUCCGAGCGUUAUCCGGAUUUAUUGGGUUUAAAGGGUGCGUAGGCGGCCUUUUAAGUCAGCGGUGAAAGUCUGUGGCUCAACCAUAGAAUUGCCGUUGAAACUGGGGGGCUUGAGUAUGUUUGAGGCAGGCGGAAUGCGUGGUGUAGCGGUGAAAUGCUUAGAUAUCACGCAGAACCCCGAUUGCGAAGGCAGCCUGCCAAGCCAUGACUGACGCUGAUGCACGAAAGCGUGGGGAUCAAACAGGAUUAGAUACCCUGGUAGUCCACGCAGUAAACGAUGAUCACUAGCUGUUUGCGAUACAGUGUAAGCGGCACAGCGAAAGCGUUAAGUGAUCCACCUGGGGAGUACGCCGGCAACGGUGAAACUCAAAGGAAUUGACGGGGGCCCGCACAAGCGGAGGAACAUGUGGUUUAAUUCGAUGAUACGCGAGGAACCUUACCCGGGUUUGAACGCAUUCGGACCGAGGUGGAAACACCUUUUCUAGCAAUAGCCGUUUGCGAGGUGCUGCAUGGUUGUCGUCAGCUCGUGCCGUGAGGUGUCGGCUUAAGUGCCAUAACGAGCGCAACCCUUGCCACUAGUUACUAACAGGUGAUGCUGAGGACUCUGGUGGGACUGCCAGCGUAAGCUGCGAGGAAGGCGGGGAUGACGUCAAAUCAGCACGGCCCUUACAUCCGGGGCGACACACGUGUUACAAUGGCGUGGACAAAGGGAGGCCACCUGGCGACAGGGAGCGAAUCCCCAAACCACGUCUCAGUUCGGAUCGGAGUCUGCAACCCGACUCCGUGAAGCUGGAUUCGCUAGUAAUCGCGCAUCAGCCAUGGCGCGGUGAAUACGUUCCCGGGCCUUGUACACACCGCCCGUCAAGCCAUGGGAGCCGGGGGUACCUGAAGUCCGUAACCGCAAGGAUCGGCCUAGGGUAAAACUGGUGACUGGGGCUAAGUCGUAACAAGGUAGCCGUACCGGAAGGUGCGGCUGGAACACCUCCUUUCUGGA
RNAcentral lists this ribosomal RNA (1540 nucleotides) under Parabacteroides distasonis. Its description in RNAcentral is "16S ribosomal RNA". It matches the Rfam family "Bacterial small subunit ribosomal RNA". Lineage: Bacteria; Pseudomonadati; Bacteroidota; Bacteroidia; Bacteroidales; Tannerellaceae. The record is from RNAcentral.